Non-coding RNA from Pelobates cultripes (western spadefoot toad), 359 nucleotides. The record is from the annotation of a GenBank genome assembly. NCBI's taxonomy places the organism in Eukaryota, Metazoa, Chordata, Amphibia, Anura, Pelobatidae.
GCCCCUUUCUGUUUCCACUUCUGUAUUUCUUCAGGGGCAACUGUAGCCUGUUGUUCCAGCAGGAUUUUCAGGUCAGUUGGAAGAGUCUGCAGAGUAAAUAUGGGAGUUUCUUCAUUUCCGGACACUCUUCUUUCCACUUCCUGUGGUUCUUGUGCAGCUUGUUUUGCAGCCUGAUCAGCUAGAUGGUUGCCUUUUGCUUCAUCUGAGUCCAACUUCCCAUGUGCUUUUAUCUUCAAAAUAGCCACUUCUUCUGGGAGUAGGAGGGCGUCCAUCAGCUCCUUGAUCGCGGAACCGUGCUUGAUUGGUGUACCGGCGGUGGUAAGAAAUCCUCUUGUUUUCCAAAUUAAUCCAAAGUCGUG